RNAcentral lists this long non-coding RNA (1126 nucleotides) under Homo sapiens (human). RNAcentral describes it as "HSALNT0326853". Lineage: Eukaryota; Metazoa; Chordata; Mammalia; Primates; Hominidae. The record is from RNAcentral.
GAUGGGUUGAGAAAGUUCAUCCUGUGGCUCUGACUAGAGAAGAUAGAGUCCUUAUUAACCUUUAGAUUAGAAAAAUUAAAUAUAUUUGUUUCCUAGAAUCUAGGUGAUUGCCCAAUAAAUAGGAGGAGAACAAGUUAAAGUUAAAAAAAGAAAAGCAGAUAAAUAGCAGAGCAAGAGGCAGGAUGCAUCAUGCCUCGGUCACUACAUGUUUGCAGGGUUUUGUUAAAGACAAUGGUAUGACGUUGAAACUUGGAUUGCCUUGAGUACACCCUCACAGCGCUGCUCGUGGGGCAAGCAUGCCUGGGAGAUGACCUGGGGCACCACGCCCUGCCUAUCUCAGACAAGGAACUCCAGGCAGCAGUGGCGAAGCUAAGCAGCUCCAUCCUUAAGGGGCGGAGGCCGGCUCAUAUUUGCCUAUUAGGGCCGUGGGACGCCGAGGUUCUGCUGGGUCCCUCCUGGAAAUAGAUCCUUCCCAGCCAGCACCCGAAGUCAGCAGCAGAGGGCAAAGCACCUGGGCUUUAUUUAGCUCCAAGCUCCACGAUCCUCCUGCAUAUUGUUCCUGGAAGAGGCAAAAGCCUAGGGCUUCAAGAUGCCGGGGCUUUAAGAAACCAAGGCAUGACCUCAAGUGAUUUGCCGGAGGUGGCCUCGGUGGCAGCAGUCAUUGAAGAAAGGAAGACAGCUGCCCAGCCAGUCUGACAGACCAUACACAGACAGCCCUGUUCACAGGGAGGGUGCAUCUGAGAUCAAUGGCCAAAGAAAAUGGGCUCUGAACAGUGCUUCACUGUCACAUCCAGGAUCUGGAAAGUUGUAUUUGAGUGCUGGGUUUGAUAUACGUUAACUAGAAGAUAAAACAUGCCGACUAUGGCUAGCAGACACAGUGCCCCAUCAUGCCUGAACAAAAAGAUAUUUUAUACCAGAAGUGCGGAACAGGAUUUUUUGCAGUUUUGCUAGAAUCCUUGUCACAGUGCUUAAUAAUGUUACAUCAUUUAGAUAAUAAUUUUUCUAGUUUUCAGUUUACCUAAUAGUACGUGUUCAAUUAUUUUAUGGAGCUUUUUCAAUCAGAACAACAUCGUACCUGUCUUUUCAGUGUAUUAUUCCCAAAUAAAAGUUUAACCUCUUUUCGGAA